UGCGUAGGCGGACUAAUAAGUCAGUGGUGAAAUCUUUCGGCUCAACCGAGAAACUGCCAUUGAUACCGUUAGUCUUGAGUUCGGUUGAGGUAGGCGGAAUGUGUAAUGUAGCGGUGAAAUGCUUAGAUAUUACACAGAACACCAAUUGCGUAGGCAGCUUACUAGACCGACACUGACGCUGAGGCACGAAAGCGUGGGGAGCGAACAGGAUUAGAUACCCUGGUAGUCC
This 229-nucleotide ribosomal RNA is filed under the name uncultured bacterium. Its description in RNAcentral is "partial 16S ribosomal RNA". It matches the Rfam family "Bacterial small subunit ribosomal RNA", at positions 568 to 796 of the family's 1533-position model. The record is from RNAcentral.